Long non-coding RNA from Pogonomyrmex barbatus (red harvester ant), 435 nucleotides. RefSeq lists it as uncharacterized. NCBI's taxonomy places the organism in Eukaryota, Metazoa, Arthropoda, Insecta, Hymenoptera, Formicidae. The record is from RefSeq and is a predicted model, not a curated record.
GCUAUGGUGUGAUGUGUACAAUUGGUAUACAUAUAUAUAUAUAUAUAUAUAUGUGUGUGUGUGUGUGUGUACAUAUCGCGCGACGAAGGCCGGCGACGAUCGAGAGGAGAAGCGAGACACUCUUGCGGAUUGUAUGAAGUUUAAUCGAAGGGAGUUUAAACAAGACAGCUGAUUAAAUCUCUUCGUUGGAAAACGGAUCAGUCGACGACGCUCCAAGUCAGUUCGUCGGAGAAGAGAAAAACACGCCGAUACAUCUUUGUAUGCGACGUCGUGAUUAUAAUCAAAAUCACUUGAUAAAUAUUGAUGUUGACUUAUACAGAUCUACGUUUAGAAAAUUGAAAGAAAUGUUGUAUAAAAAGAUUCAUAUAUUAAAUAGAUAACAAUGUUUCGUCAAAAGAAUUAACUCAUAUGAAUAAAAUAUCAAUUAACACAAUG